AUUGAACGCUGGCGGCAGGCCUAACACAUGCAAGUCGGGCGAGUGGCGGACGGGUGAGUAAUGUAUGGGGAUCUGCCUGAUGGCGGGGGAUAACUACUGGAAACGGUAGCUAAUACCGCAUACCAUCAGAUGAACCCAUAUGGGAUUAGCUGGUAGGUGAGGUAACGGCUUACCUAGGCGACGAUCCCUAGCUGGUCUGAGAGGAUGAUCAGCCGCACGAGGACUGAAACACGGACCCGCCUCCUACGGGAGGCAGAAGGGGGGACUAUUGCACGAGGGGCGCAAGCCUGAUGCAGCCAUGCCGCGUGUAUGAAGAAGGCCUUCGGGUUGUAAAGUACUUUCAGUCGGGAGGCGUUACCGUCAGAAGAAGCACCGGCUAACUCCGUGCCAGCCGCGGUAAUAC
This 403-nucleotide ribosomal RNA is filed under the name uncultured bacterium. RNAcentral's name for it is "partial 16S ribosomal RNA". It matches the Rfam family "Bacterial small subunit ribosomal RNA", at positions 30 to 526 of the family's 1533-position model. The record is from RNAcentral.